UUUUCCUCCUAAAGAUGAACCCAAAUUCGACAGAGUCGUUCCAAAUAUAAAACUAAAGAAAAUAUUUUAUGAGGAAGACAAAAUCAGAGCUAUGUUUCAAAGGAAUAAUAAACAAAACUUAGGUUCAACAAAUCUCUUUAAUGAAAAUUACCAAUCACUGACACAGAAGUUUCUUGAAAUUCAUCAGAAAAUUCACAAACAAUAUGAUGGUGAUAUGACACCUGAACAAAUGUACAAAGCAGCUAUUGAGAUUCUGAAAUCAGAGCGAACUGGAAAAACAGAAGAUAAGGACCAAGUUAGUCUGAGCACAGCAUUCAAAGAUGCACUAUCUGACCAUUCAAAGGAAAAGAAAGUUGAUAUAUCUAUAGCAAAUAUUUUCAAAUAAUGUAUAUUUAGUGCAAAGUAGACAAUUAUAAUGAGACUUUAGAAGUUU
Leptinotarsa decemlineata (Colorado potato beetle) is the source of this 433-nucleotide long non-coding RNA. NCBI's taxonomy places the organism in Eukaryota, Metazoa, Arthropoda, Insecta, Coleoptera, Chrysomelidae. The record is from RefSeq and is a predicted model, not a curated record.